RNAcentral lists this ribosomal RNA (396 nucleotides) under uncultured bacterium. Its description in RNAcentral is "bacterial SSU rRNA". It matches the Rfam family "Bacterial small subunit ribosomal RNA", at positions 29 to 429 of the family's 1533-position model. The record is from RNAcentral.
AUUGAACGCUGGCGGCAUGCCUUACACAUGCAAGUCGAACGGCAGCACGGGGGCAACCCUGGUGGCGAGUGGCGGACGGGUGAGUAAUGCAUCGGAACGUGCCCUGAAGUGGGGGAUAACGCAGCGAAAGCUACGCUAAUACCGCAUAUUCUGUGAGCAGGAAAGCAGGGGAUCGCAAGACCUUGCGCUUUGGGAGCGGCCGAUGUCGGAUUAGCUAGUUGGUGGGUAAAGGCCUACCAAGGCGACGAUCCGUAGCGGGUCUGAGAGGAUGAUCCGCCACACUGGGACUGAGACACGGCCCAGACUCCUACGGGAGGCAGCAGUGGGGAAUUUUGGACAAUGGGCGAAAGCCUGAUCCAGCCAUGCCGCGUGAGUGAAGAAGGCCUCGGUUGUAAG